GAAAAUCUCAAAGGAUUAAUGUCAUGAACUUUCAACUGAAUAACCAUGUUCCAUACAACGUUAUUUAAAAGAGAUAGCUUUCUAGACUAAUUCCUAAGGAUUGGACCCUAAUAACCAAACAAACUUGACUCAAUAAUUGGCCCAUUAAACUCAAAGGUUUAACACAACAUUGGCCUUUUUAUUGAUUAAAAAAAUAACUAAAUAAAGAGGUUAGUUUAAAGCCAAACAAUAAUUAAUUAAAACGGUAAAAUGGGAAAAAUCCUAAAAAUCAUGAUACGAUCCGCAAAAUCUCCUUACUAGCAAACAACUACUCGGACGUGCACGCGUCUUAUCUGACACAAGUCUUCUAGUCACAAUGUUUUUGUGUUCAGUCACAAGAUGUACCAACGACUUAUAGUACAAAGUCUUCUACCCCCUCCUUGAACAAACACUUCAACUAAUUAUUCGCUCUGCAUCCAUAUCAUUCCCUUUCUCUUUAAGAAGAUUUGUCCUCAAAAUUUUGACCUUUUCUUGCCGAAAAUAAUUGUGAUCACCUUGCUCAAAUCCCUGCAAAGUAGCCAUAAAAGAAUGAAAUCGAGGAUAAAUUGAUGGGCUAGCAGAAAAUAUUGAGUCCUACGAUAAUGACCCAGUCAACAAACAAUUAGAUUUUUUUUCUGCAACAUUUGUUCUCCUUUAGUUUGCGUUCACUCUCUCUUUUUCUCCUUGCCAACUCCUUUUCAUAUUACCAUUUCAAAUACAACUGGUCCUCAUACACUUGUUGGGGGGGUAAGUGGAGUAAGUGUAAUUUUCCUAUCCUUAUAUUUGAAAGAACAGCUAUUAGAAAGUUUGCUAUAAUUAACUCUCUUGUCAAACUGCCAAGGUCUUCCAAGUAGAAUAUGGCUUGCUUGCAUAGGAACUAUGUUACACAAUAAAUCAUCCUCAUACUUCCCAAUGCUGACAACCACUAGAACUUGUUUUGUAACUCGUAUCCCUGCAUCAUUGGUAAAUCAGUGUCUGAUAUAUGGGCUCGGAUGAUUAAUUGUUAGUAGUGCAAGCUUAUCCACCAAGAUUGUACUCUCAAAAGUUUGCACAACUCCCACCAUCAACAAUUAAGCCGCACACCUUAUCCCUAACACAACGUCUAGUAUAGAAGAUAUUAAUGCAUUGUCUCUGGUCUACUUCUGCCUUGACUUGUGCAUUUAAAGUUCGAGUAGUCAUAAAGGAAAGUUUUCCAAGUGCACGUUCUUCAUCAUUAGACUGAUUUUCAAUCAAAGAAGGCGUUAUUUCAAACUCUUUCUUUUCUAUAGAUUCAAUUUGUCCAUUUAAUCGCCAUAACCCGUUUGUUUGGGCACUUGAGAGCUUUGUGACCACAUCCCUGACACUUAUAACAUUGGAUAUCCUGACUCCAAAUAAUAGAAACUGGAGUGUUGCUUGAGAUUUUAGGUGUUUCCACCUUAAGUUUUGAAGGUACUCUAUCAUCACUUGACACACUCCUUGUUCUUGGGUUUAUAGCCACCCCUUCUCUUCAACUGUCUCUCAAUUUUGAUAGUCUUUUGCACCAUCACCUCUAACUCCAUGUAGUGCUGCAAUUCAACUACAUAUGCGAUGUUUGGAUUCAACCCCUUCAAGAAUCUAGUCAUUGUAGCCUUUGGAUCCUCUAUCACGUCUACCCUCAUCCUCGCCUUUUCUAUUUUUUUAUGGUAAUCUUCAAUAGUUAGAUCACUCUAUACCAAAUUUUGCAACUUUUGAUGGAGGUCUCUGUGGUAGUAAGUAGGGAUGAAUCACUUUCUCAUCAAAGCUUUGAGCUCCUGUCAAGUACUAAUAGAUCACUCACCCGUCCUUCUUCCACUGAUAGUUAGCUAGUCCCACCAAGUGAUUGCAUAGUAUGAAAACACCACCACAGCCAACUUAACUUUCUGCAUCUUAAUGUAAUUAUGGCAAUUGAAAACAAGCUCCAUCCUACACUCCCAUUCUAGGUUAGUAUGGGGUCAAAUUUCCUUUGAAGAGAAGGGAUCUUAAACUUCGCUCCCUUUACUGCGGGAUCAUUAUCUUGAUAGCUACAGUAAUCAUUACAGUACUCUUGUCUUUUUGAAUCAACAAGAAAAGGUAGCUACGAAAUUAACACAAUCUAAACAAUGAAGAACACAAAAAACAAUGAGAAACAGAUAAGAACACUAUGAAUAGAAGAUUUAAAACCCUAAAAGCACAUAAACUCUAAUUUACGAUUUUUAAAAAAAAUGACUAAAAGGAAAAACAAAAAAUUAAAAGGGAUAUGACCUCACUUUGAGUCAAAUCUCUAAUACCAACUGAUACGAAUUCCCCUAGGAUGAGAGGAAUCCGCAAUCCCAUAGGAAAACCCCAGUUCGUAAGGAGACAGGUUUGAACAAAAUUUGGAUGGAAUUUGGGUAGGCCGGCCACAAUUUGGGUGAAUACCAAAUUAAUACGACACUCAAUCCACUCAAGAACACGCUCAAAGUGAAUCAAGAUUUGGAAUUAAGCAAGAGAAUCCACUCAAGUUUAGGAGAGACCUCAAAUGCUCAAAGUCAUAAACUCUCAACUGAAUAACCAUGUUUCAUACAGCGU
RNAcentral lists this long non-coding RNA (2562 nucleotides) under Coffea arabica (coffee). RNAcentral's name for it is "long non-coding RNA (CARA_LNC002247)". The record is from RNAcentral. Lineage: Eukaryota; Viridiplantae; Streptophyta; Magnoliopsida; Gentianales; Rubiaceae.